RNAcentral lists this long non-coding RNA (1090 nucleotides) under Homo sapiens (human). Its description in RNAcentral is "non-protein coding lnc-SLFN5-1:1". Lineage: Eukaryota; Metazoa; Chordata; Mammalia; Primates; Hominidae. The record is from RNAcentral.
CUCGGCCCCGGUGGAAGUUAUCGGGUGGCAGCAGAGUUGGAAUGGGAUAGGUAGUUCCCCGUUUCCAGGACCCCAGACGGCCUGCUGGGACAGUGUAUAUGAGUCCGGAAUGGGCUGGACCAGGGUCAGGCUAGCCCAGACUUCAGGUACGGGCUGUGAUGACGAGGAGUGGGCUAGUCUCCCGGGUCGGUCACCGCUGAACUCUCAGGAGGAAGCACUCAAUUGAACAAGUGCAGGAACCAGCUGGCUGCCUCAGCACUGACAGAAGCAAAUUCCAUUUGCUUGGACCCACUGCAUUCCAUCCCUUGUGGAAGAGAGCAUGUAAGCAAGACAGGACCUUCAGGCCUCUGAAAAAAAAAGGAUCAAAGAACUGAAACUCACCAGAUCACCUCACCAGAUGCUGGACCCCUCAUUCACCAUGUUUGCUUCCUUGCCUCUCCCUAGUUCUUAUUUUCUUACACAUUGUUACAUUUCUUCCCUGCUAUAUCAACCCCUAGUUCUAGUCAGUCAUGGAGAUGGAUUUGAGACUGAUCUCCCAUCCCCUCAGCUACACCACCUGAUUAAAGCCUUCUUCCUUGGCAAUAAUCAUUGUCUCAGUCAUUGGCUUUCUGUGCAGGGAGCAGCAGGACCUAGACUAAACCCCUGGUGUUUUGGUAACAAAAUAAGGCCAGGCACAGAAAGACAAACAUCACAUGUUCACACUUAUUUGUGGGAUCUAAAUACCAGAACAAUUGAACUCAUAGAGAUAGAGAGUAGAAGGAUUAUUACCAGAGGCUGGGAAGUGUGGUUGAAGGAGUUGGUGGGCAGUGGGGAUGUAGAAUGUGUCCAAAAAAAGGAAUAGAAUGAAGAAGUCCUAGUAUUUGAUAGCACAACAGGGUGACUAUAGUCAAUAAUCAUUUAACUGUACAUUUUAAAAUAACUUAAAAGGUGUAAUUGGGUUGUUUGUAACACAAAUGAUAAAUGCUUGAAGGAAUUGCUACUCCAUUUUCCAUGAUGUGAUUAUUGUGCAUUGCAUGCCUGUAUCAAAAUGCCUCAUGUACCUCAUAAAUAUAUAUACCUACUAUGUACCCACAAAAAUUUUUUAAGAAAA